UCAAAUUCAUUCCAUACAGCACUAGUCCUCUUACGAAAAGAGGUUUGAUCUUCACUCGGUUCAUUAGUUCUAGAGGAACUAGGAAUAUGGGGUUGGGGAUUAGUUUCUUCUCCCUCAGAAAUAGGAGCAAUGCCAAAAUGACUUUCCUCAAAAGAUGACAUAUCUAAAUUGAUGAAUGCAAAAAAUAAAAACUAACCACCAUGAAGAAUUGAGUAGAGGACCAGAGGUAGAGCCGAGAUUUGUGAGCUUCCUCUUGUGCUCUCA
Molecule: long non-coding RNA, 264 nt
Filed under: Phoenix dactylifera (date palm)
Lineage: Eukaryota; Viridiplantae; Streptophyta; Magnoliopsida; Arecales; Arecaceae
Description: long non-coding RNA (PDAC_LNC003665)
Source: RNAcentral